The sequence is a transfer RNA, 72 nucleotides long. It matches the Rfam family "tRNA". Rfam says of the family: Transfer RNA (tRNA) molecules are approximately 80 nucleotides in length. Their secondary structure includes four short double-helical elements and three loops (D, anti-codon, and T loops). Further hydrogen bonds mediate the characteristic L-shaped molecular structure. tRNAs have two regions of fundamental functional importance: the anti-codon, which is responsible for specific mRNA codon recognition, and the 3' end, to which the tRNAs corresponding amino acid is attached (by aminoacyl-tRNA synthetases). tRNAs cope with the degeneracy of the genetic code in two manners: having more than one tRNA (with a specific anti-codon) for a particular amino acid; and 'wobble' base-pairing, i.e. permitting non-standard base-pairing at the 3rd anti-codon position. The record is from Rfam.
UCUUUGUUAGUAUAGUGGUCAGUAUGCAAGCUUGUCACGCUUGAGACCCGGGUUCAAUUCCCGGACAGAGAG